CUACGGGAUGCUGCAGUGGGGAAUAUUGCGCAAUGGGGGCAACCCUGACGCAGCAAUACCGCGUGAGUGAAGAAGGUUUUCGGAUCGUAAAGCUCUGUUAUUGGGGAAGAAUACAUGACGGUACCCAAUGAGGAAGUCCCGGCUAACUACGUGCCAGCAGCCGCGGUAAUACGUAGGGGACAAGCGUUGUCCGGAAUGACUGGGCGUAAAGGGCGCGUAGGCGGUCUAUUAAGUCUGAUGUGAAAGGUACCGGCUCAACCGGUGAAGUGCAUUGGAAACUGGUAGGCUUGAGUAUUGGAGAGGCAAGUGGAAUUCCUAGUGUAGCGGUGAAAUGCGUAGAUAUUAGGAGGAACACCAGUGGCGAAGGCGGCUUGCUGGACAAAUACUGACGCUGAGGUGCGAAAGCGUGGGGAGCGAACAGGAUUAGAUACCCGUGUAGUC
This 441-nucleotide ribosomal RNA is filed under the name uncultured bacterium. Its description in RNAcentral is "partial 16S ribosomal RNA". It matches the Rfam family "Bacterial small subunit ribosomal RNA", at positions 339 to 795 of the family's 1533-position model. The record is from RNAcentral.